Molecule: ribosomal RNA, 1221 nt
Filed under: Leptopilina clavipes
Lineage: Eukaryota; Metazoa; Arthropoda; Insecta; Hymenoptera; Figitidae
Description: SSU rRNA
Rfam family: Eukaryotic small subunit ribosomal RNA
Source: RNAcentral
CCUGGUUGAUCCUGCCAGUAGUCAUAUGCUUGUCUCAAAGAUUAAGCCAUGCAUGUCUAAGUGCAUGCCAAAUUAAGGUGAAACCGCGAAUGGCUCAUUAAAUCAGUUAUGGUUCCUUAGAUCGUACCCACAUUUACUUGGAUAACUGUGGUAAUUCUAGAGCUAAUACAUGCAAACCAGAGUUCCGACCAGAGAUGGAAGGAACGCUUUUAUUAGAUCAAAACCAAUCGGUGGCGGGCUUUGCUCGUCCACCGUUUACUUUGGUGACUCUGAAUAACUUUGUGCUGAUCGCACGGUCUCGUACCGGCGACGCAUCUUUCAAAUGUCUGCCUUAUCAACUGUCGAUGGUAGGUUCUGCGCCUACCAUGGUUGUAACGGGUAACGGGGAAUCAGGGUUCGAUUCCGGAGAGGGAGCCUGAGAAACGGCUACCACAUCCAAGGAAGGCAGCAGGCGCGCAAAUUACCCACUCCCGGCACGGGGAGGUAGUGACGAAAAAUAACGAUACGGGACUCAUCCGAGGCCCCGUAAUCGGAAUGAGUACACUUUAAAUCCUUUAACGAGGAUCAAUUGGAGGGCAAGUCUGGUGCCAGCAGCCGCGGUAAUUCCAGCUCCAAUAGCGUAUAUUAAAGUUGUUGCGGUUAAAAAGCUCGUAGUUGAAUCUGUGUCGCACGCUGUCGGUUCGCCGCUCGCGGUGUUUAACUGACAUGCUCGUGAGACGUCCUACCGGUGGGCUUAGCUCCUUCGGGGGCGGUCCAACUAAUAUCCCAUCGCGGUGCUCUUUAUUGAGUGUCGAGGUGGGCCGGUACGUUUACUUUGAACAAAUUAGAGUGCUUAAAGCAGGCUAUCAUUUGCCUGAAUAUUCUGUGCAUGGAAUAAUGGAAUAGGACCUCGGUUCUAUUUUGUUGGUUUUAAGAAACCCGAGGUAAUGAUUAAUAGGGACAGAUGGGGGCAUUCGUAUUGCGACGUUAGAGGUGAAAUUCUUGGAUCGUCGCAAGACGGACAGAAGCGAAAGCAUUUGCCAAAAAUGUUUUCAUUAAUCAAGAACGAAAGUUAGAGGUUCGAAGGCGAUCAGAUACCGCCCUAGUUCUAACCAUAAACGAUGCCAGCUAGCGAUCCGCCGAAGUUCCUCCGAUGACUCGGCGGGCAGCUUCCGGGAAACCAAAGCUUUUGCGUUCCGGGGGAAGUAUGGUUGCAAAGCUGAAACUUAAAGGAAUUGAUGG